AUUGAGAGUUUGGGACAGUUUGGUGAGCUGUAUGAUUCGUCCCGCUCGUGAAUCUUAAGGUACCGUUUGGUUCGGGUAUAAGUAAGAACUAGCUGUUACAGGGAUAGGUACAAGUAUGGGGAUAAGAAAAAUACCGUUUGAAUGAAAAUUGGGUUGUUUCCGGGGAUAAGAAAAAUGGCGUUUGGAUAGAUAAUAUGGAAUACGAAAAAUAUUAGGUGGUUUUAUAUAAAAAAUAGAGGUGUUGGUAGGGAUAGUUAUAACCGGUUAUUAUAGAUAACCGAGAAUUACUGUUCUCGGAUAAAAAAUUAACGUUUUGGUAUAAAGGGGAUAAGGGCCUAUCCCUAUCCCUAUCCCCUAAUCAAACACUGCCUAUAAGUGUCUGGUCCAAUCUGAAAAUUUCUAUUCAAAUCUCAACAAUGUAUUGAAUGGAGAAUUUAAAUGAGGCCCAAUAAAAAUUGAAUGAGGCUCCUUAUUCAAUUUUUAUUUGAACUUCGAGGCCCAAUCGUGGCCCGCUUAUUAUGGCCUAAUUUUUACUAAUCUCUACAUUAAUGAGAGAAAUGGGAUAAUCAAAAUUGAUGAAUAAUUCCGAACUUAAAAAAUAGAAGAGCUGCUAUGCUACUAAUAGUACAGUAGCCCUGCUCUCUCUUUCUCUCUAUAUAUAUGUUAGUAUUUUUUGCUUAUUUAUCUCUUACUACUAAUCAAAAUUUUUAAAUUUAUUUUGAAAUUAUCAAAUCCAAUCUUAUUAAAUUUUACNUUUUAUAUUUUGAAUUAUCCGUUCAAUUUAAAAUGUGGAUGUAUAUAAAGAGUUGUAAAAUUUAUACGCGGGCAAAGCAUUUUUCAAAAGCAAAAUAAGACAUUAUUAACAGUGCGUGAUAGUUAUGUAGGAAAGGCUAAGCAAAUCGCCGAUGGCCCGAUUUCUGUUAUCGGAUCGGGCAUGCCCGAUUCAUCGGACCGGGUUGGGCUUUGAAGAUAAAUGCAAAAUACUUUAUAUCAUGCCAACCUAGUUAGGCCGGGCUGACACCGUCUUGUACGUAGGUGCACCCGACACUAUCGGCGAAAACGGAGUCGAGACAAAAAUAUACAAAAACAGAAAGACAACAGUAAAUACAUUAUAACUAAUUUAUUGCGGUAGACGCAACAUGAUAUCGAAGAGAUAUUUUACUCAAAUUUUAUCAUCACAAGUAAUGCAAUAUCUCUGCAAUUACCGACAUAGACUUUAUCCAAUCUCCUCUGCUAUUGAGAGUUUGGGACAGUUUGGUGAGCUGUAUGAUUCGUCCCGCUCGUGAAUCUUAAGAUACCGUUUGGUUUGGGUAUAAAUAAGAACUAGCUAUUAUUGGGACAGUUUGGUGAGCUGUAUGAUUCGUCCCGCUCGUGAAUCUUAAGAUACCGUUUGGUUCGGGUAUAAGUAAGAACUAGCUAUUAUAGGGAUAGGUACAAGUAUGGGGAUAAGAAAAAUACCGUUUGAAUGAAAAUUGGGUUGUUUCCGGGGAUAAGAAAAAUAGCAUUUGGAUAGAUAAUAUGGAAUAAGAAAAAUAUUAGGUAGUUUUAUAUAGAAAAUAGAGGUGUUGGUAGGGAUAGUUAUAACUGGUUAUUAUAGGUAACCGAGAACUACUGUUCUCGGAUAAAAAAUUAACGUUUGGAUAUAAAGGGGAUAAGGGGCUAUCCCUAUCCCUAUC
This 1676-nucleotide long non-coding RNA is filed under the name Ananas comosus (pineapple). RNAcentral describes it as "long non-coding RNA (ACOM_LNC004089)". Lineage: Eukaryota; Viridiplantae; Streptophyta; Magnoliopsida; Poales; Bromeliaceae. The record is from RNAcentral.